RNAcentral lists this ribosomal RNA (301 nucleotides) under uncultured bacterium. Its description in RNAcentral is "partial 16S ribosomal RNA". It matches the Rfam family "Bacterial small subunit ribosomal RNA", at positions 509 to 807 of the family's 1533-position model. The record is from RNAcentral.
CAGUCGCCGCGGUAAUACGAAGGGUGCAAGCGUUACUCGGAAUUACUGGGCGUAAAGCGUGCGUAGGUGGUGGUUUAAGUCUGCUGUGAAAGCCCUGGGCUCAACCUGGGAAUUGCAGUGGAUACUGGAUCACUAGAGUGUGGUAGAGGGAUGCGGAAUUUCUGGUGUAGCAGUGAAAUGCGUAGAGAUCAGAAGGAACAUCCGUGGCGAAGGCGGCAUCCUGGGCCAACACUGACACUGAGGCACGAAAGCGUGGGGAGCAAAUGGGAUUAGAUACCCCCGUAGUCCCUGUCUCUUAUAC